GUUUAUGGGAGUUGUGGUCCAAAAACAGCUGGUGGGGUUGAGUUGAGCAGGCCUAGGAUGGCCAACCUGAGGCUCUCCAGCUGUUGUUGGGCUACAACUCCCAUCAUCCCCAACCACAAUUGCAGCUGUGGAUGAUGGGAACUGUUGUCGGACAGCAGCUGGAGAGCUUCAGCUUGGCCACCCCGGCCUAGUGCUUGCUUUCCUUCAGCCCCUUGAACUGCUCAGAGGUCGGGGCCAAAAACCGAUACAUCCUCUAGGCCCAUUUACCUCUUCCCUUCUUUAGGCCCCAGGCUGAAAACCACUUGCUGAAAACAUCCAAGAAAAUUCUACAAAAUUUCUCCUCGGGAGGAGCCCUUGAAAUUCAAAGAGAAUUUCAGUUCCUCCAUGGGGAAACUCUGAAACUAUGUAUUUUCUGAUGUCUGAUCAGGUGCGAACUGGCACUGAAGCUCCUCCCGCAUUCUGAACAUUUAUACGGUUUCUCUCCCGUGUGAAUCCGCUGGUGCCUUAUGAGAUUCAUCAAGGCCCUCAAAACCUCCCCAAUGAGGAACAGAAUUUCCCAUCCCUUCCAAUGGAUGGUUUUCCUGCUGGGUCUCUGGUCGCUGCUGAGAAUGCAAGAUCAAGUCCUCCUCACGACACUGGGAAAGGCUCUCUUCAUCUCCUUCAAGUGUUUCAAGGGAUUCCGGUUCCUUGGAAUACCCCAUGUAAAAAGCUUGCAGCCCAUUCUCAUUGUGAGUGUCGUCACCUGUUGGAACAAACAGAGGAUCAAAUUUGUGAUAAAUCUAUUCUUGCUUGUCAUUACCUCUCCUCUUUUUUCUUUGACUAGUCCUAUUCAGACCUUACAUUGCACUUGUACAGGUGUCUGUACACGCCCCCCGCCCCCCGUGUUUUUUGUGUGAAUAACUGAACAUGCAUUCAUUUAAAAAAUGAGCCUGCAGGGGCUAGAUGUAAAAGUGUACUACUGUAUGUGUGUUGAACAUAACGUGUGAAUAACUGUGUGUACACUGUAUAAAGAUUCUACGUGUAUUGAGUAUAAUGUGUGAAUAGGGCUUCUCUCUUGGCUGAUUCAAGUAUUCUCAUGGUAAAGGCUUCCUGAAUUGUAAUGCAAACGUGGCAAAGAGGCACCUUUUAAUGUGGUGAUUCUCUUUAUUUAGCAGGGGGAGAGCAACUGGCCCUAUCCACCCCCAGCACAGUACCUCCAGUGACUGUUGCUGGUGUCUAUCUUGUGUUUCUUUUUAGAAUGUGAGCCCUUUGGGGACAGGGAGCCAUCUUGUUUAUUUGUUUAUUUCUCUGUGUAAAUCACCCUGAGCCAUUUUUGGAAGGGCGGUAUAGAAACUGAAUUAUUAUUAUUAAUAAUAAUAUAUGGGUUGCAAGUGAGGGGUGUGUGUGUGUGUGUGUUUAUACCUGAAUACGGGAAGCUAGAAUUUCAGGGGAAAGGGAUUUCACUAACCC
Molecule: long non-coding RNA, 1449 nt
Organism: Hemicordylus capensis (graceful crag lizard)
Lineage: Eukaryota; Metazoa; Chordata; Lepidosauria; Squamata; Cordylidae
Exons: 3
Source: RefSeq, a predicted model, not a curated record